RNAcentral lists this ribosomal RNA (501 nucleotides) under uncultured bacterium. Its description in RNAcentral is "partial 16S ribosomal RNA". It matches the Rfam family "Bacterial small subunit ribosomal RNA", at positions 29 to 523 of the family's 1533-position model. The record is from RNAcentral.
AACGAACGCUGGCGGCGCGCCUAAUACAUGCAAGUCGAGCGAGAAGACGUAGCAAUACGUUUGUAAAGCGGCGAACGGGUGAGGAAUACAUGGGUAACCUACCCUCGAGUGGGGAAUAACUAGCCGAAAGGUUAGCUAAUACCGCAUACGACUCUUGGUCUGCGGAUCAAGAGAGAAAGCGAUACCGUGGGUAUCGCGCUCUUGGAUGGGCUCAUGUCCUAUCAGCUUGUUGGUGAGGUAAUGGCUCACCAAGGCUUCGACGGGUAGCUGGUCUGAGAGGACGAUCAGCCACACUGGCACUGCGACACGGGCCAGACUCCUACGGGAGGCAGCAGUAAGGAAUAUUGCGCAAUGGGCGACAGCCUGACGCAGCGACGCCGCGUGGGGGAUGAAGGUCUUCGGAUUGUAAACCCCUUUCGGCAGGGAAGAUGGAACGGGUAACCGUUCGGACGGUACCUGCAGAAGCAGCCACGGCUAACUUCGUGCCAGCAGCCGCGGUAA